GGAACUGCAUUUGAAACUGGUUGACUAGAGUUUUGUAGAGGGUGGUAGAAUUUCAGGUGUAGCGGUGAAAUGCGUAGAGAUCUGAAGGAAUACCAGUGGCGAAGGCGGCCACCUGGACAGAGACUGACACUGAGGCGCGAAGGCGUGGGGAGCAAACGGGAUUAGAUACCCCGGUAGUCCACGCAGUAAACGAUGUCUAUUAGAAGUUUGUGGCUAUAUGCCGUGGGUUUCAAAGCUAACGCAUUAAAUAGACCGCCUGGGGAGUACGGCCGCAAGGUUAAAACUCAAAUGAAUUGACGGGGGCCCGCACAAGCGGUGGAGCAUGUGGUUUAAUUCGAUGCAACGCGAAGAACCUUACCAUCCCUUGACAUCCAGAGAAUCACCUAGAGAUAGAUGAGUGCCUUCGGGAACUCUGAGACAGGUGCUGCAUGGCUGUCGUCAGCUCGUGUUGUGAAAUGUUGGGUUAAGUCCCGCAACGAGCGCAACCCUUAUCCUUAGUUGCCAGCACGUAAUGGUGGGAACUCUAGGGAGACUGCCGGUGAUAAACCGGAGGAAGGUGGGGACGACGUCAAGUCAUCAUGGCCCUUACGGGAUGGGCUACACACGUGCUACAAUGGCAAAUACAAAGGGUUGCUAACCUGCGAGGGUAUGCGAAUCUCAUAAAGUUUGUCGUAGUCCGGAUCGGAGUCUGCAACUCGACUCCGUGAAGUUGGAAUCGCUAGUAAUCGUGGAUCAGAAUGCCACGGUGAAUACGUUCCCGGGCCUUGUACACACCGCCCGUCACACCAUGGGAGUGGGCUGCACCAGAAGUCAUUAGCUUAACCUUCGGGAUGGCGAUGACCACGGUGUGGUUCAUGACUGGGGUGAA
Molecule: ribosomal RNA, 868 nt
Filed under: Alteromonadales bacterium
Lineage: Bacteria; Pseudomonadati; Pseudomonadota; Gammaproteobacteria; Alteromonadales
Description: bacterial SSU rRNA
Rfam family: Bacterial small subunit ribosomal RNA
Source: RNAcentral